Molecule: ribosomal RNA, 371 nt
Filed under: uncultured organism
Description: bacterial SSU rRNA
Rfam family: Bacterial small subunit ribosomal RNA
Source: RNAcentral
CGUAGGGUCCAAGCGUUAAUCGGAAUUACUGGGCGUAAAGCGUGCGCAGGCGGUUUUAUAAGCCAGAUGUGAAAUCCCCGGGCUUAACCUGGGAAUGGCAUUUGGGACUGUAAGGCUAGAGUACGGCAGAGGAGACUAGAAUUCCUGGUGUAGCAGUGAAAUGCGUAGAUAUCAGGAGGAAUACCGAUGGCGAAGGCAGGUCUCUGGGUCGAUACUGACGCUCAUGCACGAAAGCGUGGGGAGCAAACAGGAUUAGAUACCCUGGUAGUCCACGCCCUAAACGAUGUCAACUGGUUGUUGGGGAAUUGAUUUCCUUAGUAACGAAGCUAACGCGUGAAGUUGACCGCCUGGGGAGUACGGUCGCAAGAUUA